UUUAAGAUGUCCUAAUGGCUAGCGAUGAACUCCUUGAACAGUUCGUCAGUCCCUCGGUUUCGAAUCUUCCACAGCGUUCUUUUAGCCAUCGCCGCCAAUUCAAGAUAUAAACAAAUGCCUAAUUGCCGAAACCGAGUUUUUGUUCGAAAGCUCAGUAAUGGAGUAAUGGAGUCCCCCGUGAUGCGGUUCAUAGGUCCCACCACUUCUCCUUGUUUCUCAUUCCAAGUUUGAACGCCUCGACUCUCAAGACUAAGGUCACUACUCAUUUAUCUUCCACUUAUUGCUUUUCAAAAUUCCGUAGAAAUCUCUGCAAAUUGCUUUUCCUGUCCCGUCGGUUCGUUCUGGAUGCGAUUCUCCAUUUAGAUUCUGAAACCUAACCAUGGAGGAAGAGGAUAGUAUUUACACGCAAGAUGGAACGGUGGACUACCGUGGAGAUCCUGCGAUUAGAAGCCAAACAGGAACCUGGAAGGCCUGUCCCUAUAUUUUGGGCAAUGAAUUUUGUGAGAGAUUGGCUUAC
Cucurbita pepo subsp. pepo (vegetable marrow) is the source of this 517-nucleotide non-coding RNA. NCBI's taxonomy places the organism in Eukaryota, Viridiplantae, Streptophyta, Magnoliopsida, Cucurbitales, Cucurbitaceae. The record is from RefSeq and is a predicted model, not a curated record.